Molecule: ribosomal RNA, 505 nt
Filed under: Actinomyces sp. 'ARUP UnID 56'
Lineage: Bacteria; Bacillati; Actinomycetota; Actinomycetes; Actinomycetales; Actinomycetaceae
Description: bacterial SSU rRNA
Rfam family: Bacterial small subunit ribosomal RNA
Source: RNAcentral
GGACGAACGCUGGCGGCGUGCUUAACACAUGCAAGUCGAACGGUGAAGGGACUGGUUUUGCUGGUYCUGGAUGAGUGGCGAACGGGUGAGUAACACGUGAGUAACCUGCCCCCUUCUUCUGGAUAACCGCAUGAAAGUGUGGCUAAUACGGGAUAUUCUGGGUCUGUCGCAUGGUGGGCCUGGGAAAGAUUGCGCUUUUUUUGGUGUUUUUGGUGGGGGAUGGGCUCGCGGCCUAUCAGCUUGUUGGUGGGGUGAUGGCCUACCAAGGCGGUGACGGGUAGCCGGCCUGAGAGGGUGGACGGUCACACUGGGACUGAGACACGGCCCAGACUCCUACGGGAGGCAGCAGUGGGGAAUAUUGCACAAUGGGCGCAAGCCUGAUGCAGCGACGCCGCGUGAGGGAUGGAGGCCUUCGGGUUGUGAACCUCUUUCGCCAGUGAAGCAGGCCUGCCUCGUUUGUGGGUGGGUUGACGGUAGCUGGAUAAGAAGCGCCGGCUAACUACGU